Equus asinus (donkey) is the source of this 1809-nucleotide long non-coding RNA. The record is from Ensembl. Lineage: Eukaryota; Metazoa; Chordata; Mammalia; Perissodactyla; Equidae.
GGGAAAUCAGGGUCUGCUGCAGAAGGGAUACAAAGAAUAAGACCCAGGUGAUGUUCAGCUUUUGACAUUGAAAAUUCAGCUUUUGCCUAGCCCUGAGUCCUGAAGAGUUUCUCCUAUAUAGUUUUCUAGUAAUUUUUGUCUAAAGUUUUUGUCUAAAAAAUCAGCUGACAAUCCCUAACAAUCAGUUGUUUGCCAGGUGAUUAGCUGCCUCUCUACCUUCCUCAUGGUCCAGUAAACUGCAGGAACGUAUGGAAUCAUUCACACUUAGCUUGUGCUGGGCCAGGCCGCGCAUGUCACCUUGGGUUUCGCUGGCCGCUGACAAGACCUCAAGCUGCCAAGAGCUGCCGCACUAUCCUUCCCCGGCUCCCAUUUUAAUGGAAGGGGUCGCUGGCAGGGCCAGGAGUUUAAGAGCAUGCCCCUUAUUCAGCUUUAUCUCAGCAAGUAUUCAUAGUUUUAGAGUUGCAAGGGACCUUCUCAAAGGGAACAGGCUAAAACCAAGGAAUGUUCAAUGAUUUUUUUCCAAUUUAUAGAAUCUUCAGCUUCUGACUCCCAGGCUGAGCUCUUUUCAUUGUCCCCACAAAGCACCAGCCAGUGGACUACUGGUCACUCCUCCUGGCCUGCCGCAGCCUCUGUCCCAUAACAGGGAGCAAACAGCUGUGGUGGCUCAGAGAAUCCGCCAGGUUGUAGCAAUUUAAUCCAGUGCUCUCAUGAGGAUCUGCUGCGAGCAUCUCAUGCAGGGGCUCCGAGCUGCCAGCUUUCCCUCCGAGCUGCCUUCAGCGUCCUGUCCUCGCCCUCACAGCCUAGGAGCAUAAGCUUCAUCAAACAGAAGAAAUUUAUGCACCAAAGAAUCUGAAUGUUAUCCAACAAAUAUUUUUUUGAGUUAUGUGCCAGCCAAGAGGUACUCAAUUUUUGGACCUACAAAAUGACUAUACACUCUCCCUUCUCUACUCGAUUUCAUAGUUUAGUGAAGGAUUUGGAUAUGAAAAUAGAUCAUUUAUAAUAUGAUUCUAUGUUGCUGGUAGAGGUAUCUACAGAGUGCUAGUGGAGAGCGAAGAGGAAACAGAAGGAAAGAAUGUAAAAAAUUUGAACUGAAUUUUCAAAGCUGAAUAGUAGUCUGGUCUACAAAAUGGGGUUGGGAUGAGUGGGAGGACAUUUCAAAGGGUGAGAACACAUGUGAAAAGGCAGAGUGAGCAAGAGCAUGCUGGCCCCCAGCCUGACUUAAUUCAAAUAUUCACUACACAGAAAAAUAUUACUAUUUUUGUUUGUUUCUUUGUUUGUUGUUGUUUAAUUCCUAAACUAUACAACUGAGCCAUAGAAUGUUUUCCUGAGUUAUUCUGAAACCUGGAAGGCAUUGCCUUUUUAUAAUUCUUUUUUUCUUCUCUACUGCUGUUACUAACUACACUCUCUCAUUUCAUAUCAAUUUUCUAUUUAUGUUUCCUGCUCCAUUUUCUCUUCCUUUCCUUAAGCAUAAACAACUUCUUAAUAUUAUGAUUUAUUUUUAAUUAGUUCUUCUAUUUCUCUCAUAAAAAUCCUUUGCCUGAGUCUUGCUAAUUUCUCAUCUAAUAUCGCAAAAUCUCUGUGGGCUUAUCCAUUUAAAAAAAAUUAUAAUCUUACCAGAAUGUGCUUCCUUAUGUGCAGUGUUUUAUUUAUCUAUUUCUGUUUAUACUUCAGUUUGUCUACUUCAUCUAUUCACCUUGGGCUCGAAGAAGAGACUAAUCUCUAUGCCAAAUUGUUCAUUUUCUAUAGCUUGGCUUUUGUCUAAAUUAAUUUCUUUUUCUGUCACUUGUGUAGAAUAAAACUGCACCUAUG